RNAcentral lists this long non-coding RNA (1771 nucleotides) under Rattus norvegicus (Norway rat). Its description in RNAcentral is "long non-coding RNA NONRATT029416". Lineage: Eukaryota; Metazoa; Chordata; Mammalia; Rodentia; Muridae. The record is from RNAcentral.
GAGAGGAGUCCCGGGGAGGGCCAGUACUGAGUGCAGCAGAAGCCAGAGGCCUCCACCAGGCCAGUGAUUCACUGUAAUGAACAUUCGUAAGGAAAGCUGUGCGGACUCAUGGGUGUGCUGUGGGACUCACGGUGACACACGGGGGCUUUUAUGCACAGAGAUGUUUUCAUUUUUAUUUGUAUUUUUUGUUUUCUUUGGCAGGGACAGAUUGCUAGAGCAGAGAGUGGGUAUGGAGGGCUGGAGAGAAGAAUGGGAUUGGGGUGCAUGAUGAAGAAUUCACAAAGAAUCAAAAGGGGUUGGGGAUUUAGCUCAGUGGUAGAGCGCUUGCCUAGCAACCUCAAGGCCCUGGGUUCAGUCCCCAGCUCCGAAAAGAAGAAAAAAAAAAAAAAAAAAAGAAAGAAAAAAAAAAAGAAAGGUGCAUCACAAAGAAUCAAAAACCUAAAAAGAAAGGAAAAGUGAAUAGUUGCAUAGUGAAACAGAUUAACUUUAUUUAUAAUUUCAUAGCUAGCUUUUUUUAAAUAACAGGAGCAGUUAGAACUUAUUUAUUUAUUAAAUACUUUUGGCAUAAGAUUUCAAUAUUCAUAGAAAAAUCCUGUCAUACCAGUACUAGGAUAGGCCAAAGGACCACAUGCUCUGAGCCAGUCUAGGUGUGUAAACACAAAGGUGUGUGUGUGUUUGUGUGAGAGAGGACCGAGAAAUUCUAUCACAUCCAAUACAAUAUAAUUUUGUUAGCUGCUAUAAAACAUGGUUAAUUUACUUCUGUGUACUUUCGAGUAACCAAAUAAUAUAGUCUUUAUCUGUAUUUAAGAAUAGUAGUCAAGCCCCACCCCCUGAGGUUUGGGGAUCUGUUCCAAAGAGGAGGCAGAAAGACCGUAAGAGUCAGAGGUUGUGGAUGACUCCAAGGAGCAGCAGCAUCCAGACACAACAGGACCCAUGCACAGUGGACGCACAGAGACUCAAACCAGAGUCCCAGCACUGAGAAAGGGGUUAGGAAGUUGUGGCCCAUGAGCACAUGGGAACCAGGAAUGUUCAACACUCAGGUCUGCCUCUUCGAGGGGAGAGACAUAUGACCUGCUUCUGCCCAGAAGGCAGGAACAAUGUGAGUCAUAGCUGGUGGUGUCCACACUAUCUGUAUGGCCAGGCCAUGCCGCCUCCCUCAGACUCAUGUUUAUCUCUGUCAGUCGGCAGUCUGUCUUCCCUGCCACCGUCAUGGGGACCACUUUUACCCUGAGCCUGCUUCCUCAGUUAAUCCAGGGAACCUGUCUGUGGGGAAGAUGUUGCUUGUACUCUACGAGAGUCUCCAUAUGGCCAUCUCUUAGGCUUUGUACACACAGGACUGAUUAAUCACCACCAGAAACUAUUCUGACAUUGUGCUGUGCUUAAGUAUGCCUAAAAUAAACCACCCGGUGUCAGACUCCAAAAGUUUGAACAAAAACUGUCCACUGAGUCUUGUUGAGUCGGACGUCCUUCCUGCCUUUCUUGGACCAACACCCUGUGGUUGAGGUGUUUGCAGAGACCCCCACAGAGAGGGACUUCGACUAAGAAGGCUGGUGCAAUAGAGCUGCUGAGAAAGGGAAAGCAGUUUUCUCCGGCAGAGUCUUGCUGGGCACGUCCACUGUGCGCCAGGGUAGGCCUCACGCCCAGGAGGAGUUGGCUAACAUAAAAUGGACUCUGUAUGUGUGUCUUUUUAUUGAUUUUCUUUUUUUCUUUUUUCUUUUUUGGUUUGUUUGUUUGCUUUGCUUAUCAACUUUUUGCUUUUCUGAGGGAGAGA